RNAcentral lists this long non-coding RNA (1452 nucleotides) under Ursus americanus (American black bear). RNAcentral's name for it is "lncRNA (ENSUAMG00000011139.1)". Lineage: Eukaryota; Metazoa; Chordata; Mammalia; Carnivora; Ursidae. The record is from RNAcentral.
UCAAGUAAUUCAAUCCAACGACUUCCAAUCCAAAUUUGAUUAAAAAAAUCGAUUGUCAACCUUAAUGUCAAAUUACUGAGAGAGUGUGGGCUUUGGGACAGGAAGCACGAGAAAACAGUGCGCUCUUGAAGUAUGAAAAAUACUGCUUUAAAUAUCUUUGCGCUUUGGUAGACGCUAAACGGGGUUCGUCUGACAGUGCCAGAGAGGAUUCAGCUGCCUUUCUUCCCCUUAAUCCCUACUCCUCUUGUAGCCACCGACCUCAGAGAUGCGUGCAGAGUUGCCACACCAGGUGGGUUUAGAAUCUCAAAGGGCGGGAGGGUGAGUGUUAGCGAGUCUUUUGGUAGAUGCCUUGGGGCUGAUGAAAGGUUGUAGGGCAACAAAAAAAAAAGAGAAGAAAAGCUGGAGUGGCAGGUUACAUGACUAGACCAUUUGCCGGAAGAUUGGCAGGCAGCUUUUAACUCCUUCUUAAUGAGCCCUAAGCACCCUCCAGGCAAUGUCAGUUUGGGGGAAUAACAGUUUCAUCUUCCAGAUGCUUUUUCCUCGAUUUAUGUCGUCUGGAGUUCUGGAGUGGAGCUGUUGCCCUGGGUUGGUGCGCUGAAGACCACCAUUGCAGUCACAGCUGGUAAGGGGCAGCCCUGCACAGAGAGGACCAGGACAACCCCAGUCGCACCUUUCCUGCAAAUGCAGUGCCACUGGUAUCCAGAGGUUUAAACCUGACUCUUCUAGAGAGGAGGCUAGAGAACUCAGGGUGAGUAGUUUGCUGCCAUCCCCCUGUGAAGCAAAUCUCUGUGUGGUUCUGCUGACUCUGCUUCCUGUGAAAGGGUGGUUACUUUCCUAUCUUGUGCCGAGUGCCAUUUUAUAUCCUCCUUGUAAUCAAUUAUUGGUUACUAAGUUCCCAUUUGUCUAGGCCAAAAAAAUGAGUAUUUAUUCCUGUUAUUUAAUCUCUACUUGGAACUUGGCCCCAAACUCUGGAAAGUAAGGUGCCUCACAUUUGCUCUUAGAACUUGCUGCUUGCUGUUGAUCUCCUGCCUUGCCCUUGCUUGGUAGGCACUCUGCUUUUGAAACUUGGACACCCUGUAUACAAGCUGCCUUCGUCUAUUCGCUUAUUCAGUCAUUUUUCCAAAACUCAACAAAGACUGAUCUCCCAAAUUAGAACUACUUUUGAACUCACGUGUUUUGUUUUGUUUUUUUCCUAUCGGUGUAUUCUCGAUCUAAUGCUCUGACAUCUGGCGUAGGUUCCCAGUUUGUACGUGUUGGCUGCUCUACUCUGACCACAUUCUGAUCCUAUCACUAGACCAAGUCUGUUUUUGAGGAUGGUAUGCAUAUGGGCUAGAUAUUAAAACAUUUGAAAAGUCAGGAACGUUUAAAGUAACUGCUCAUCAUACAAGUGUAACUUGAUUAUUGAAGAUUCUUAUGUUCUAUUUUCAAUAAAAGGUUUUUAGUGAUUCUUCA